RNAcentral lists this ribosomal RNA (775 nucleotides) under uncultured Neocallimastigales. Its description in RNAcentral is "partial large subunit ribosomal RNA". It matches the Rfam family "Eukaryotic large subunit ribosomal RNA", at positions 22 to 643 of the family's 3401-position model. The record is from RNAcentral. Lineage: Eukaryota; Fungi; Neocallimastigomycota; Neocallimastigomycetes; Neocallimastigales.
CAUAGCGACUAUCGUGGCAUAUCAAUAAGCGGAGGAAAAGAAACUAACAAGGAUUCCCUUAGUAACGGCGAGUGAAGCGGGAAGAGCUCAAAUUUGAAAUCUUCAAGGUUCUACCUUGACGAAUUGUAGUUUAUAGAAGUGUUUUCUGUUAGUAGGAGUGGCAAAAGUUCUUUGGAAUAGGACAUCAUAGAGGGUGAGAAUCCCGUAUUUGGUCAUUCCUCCUAGCGUUGUGAUACACUUUCAACGAGUCGGAUUGUUUGGGAAUGCAGUCCAAAAUGGGUGGUAAAUUUCAUCUAAAGCUAAAUAUUGGCGAGAGACCGAUAGCGAACAAGUACCGUGAGGGAAAGAUGAAAAGAACUUUGAAAAGAGAGUUAAACAGUACGUGAAAUUGUCAAAAGGGAAGCGUUUGACACCAGUGUUGUUUUUCCGAAAAUCAAUUACGAAUGUUUUGUUUUUGAGGAGUUAUGACUUCAUCGGCUUGCUCCUUUCUUUAUGAAACUUUCUUAAUGCACUUUUCGGUUAACAAGUCAACAUCAAUUUCUUUUGUUGUAAAAGGGUAUGAGGAAGGUGGCUUUCUUUUCGGAGAAAGUGUUUAUAGCCUUGUGCCUCUGCAAUCGGAGAGAUUGAGGUCUGCAGCGUAGAUCCUACGGGGUUAGAUACGUUUGUGCUAAGUUAUAGCUUUUCAUAGACAACUUGUUGACUAUGUUUAGUCUUGUAGCUUACUCGCUUAUGCUAUUUUACCUACGCUUAGGAUGUUGAUAUGCAUGACUGAUAU